UGGGAUCCUAGAAGGGGAACCUUACUACCCAGUGAAGAGGGUGAUCCGCUGCAAAAUACAGAAGGGGAUCCAAAUGAAGUUGGUGGAAUGGGAGCCCUGUUCACUCUGUGGGAAAACUUGGCCGCCACAGUGGGUGACAGAGGAGAACACCACAAAUUAAGGAAAUGUUCAAUCCCAUUGUUUUGUUCCAUAAGCUAUGUGUAUGUUGUUAUACAGUAUAUUAAAACAAAUUCAAAAGCC
This is a long non-coding RNA of Xyrauchen texanus (razorback sucker), 240 nucleotides long. RefSeq lists it as uncharacterized. Lineage: Eukaryota; Metazoa; Chordata; Actinopteri; Cypriniformes; Catostomidae. The record is from RefSeq and is a predicted model, not a curated record. The transcript is spliced from 3 exons.